GAGAUAUAAAAAUAGCAAUAUUAGACCAUCUGUUUUGCUGGACCUCAUAAAGUAAUCUCCACAACUGCAAGUAUAAACUCAUGUUUCUGUGGGAGUUUCAGAUUUAGAAGUGCCUUUUCUACUACCUAUUGGACUAUUUCACUGCAUCUAAAAUUUGCUACCCUUUUUGUUUUCCUUUUCUCCACUUGUUAACAAAUUGUGUGGGCUUUUAAUGCAGGUGGG
This 222-nucleotide unclassified non-coding RNA is filed under the name Hevea brasiliensis (rubber tree). The record is from RNAcentral. Lineage: Eukaryota; Viridiplantae; Streptophyta; Magnoliopsida; Malpighiales; Euphorbiaceae.